CCCUUCCGUAGGGGGACCUGCGGAAGGAUCAUUA
This 34-nucleotide ribosomal RNA is filed under the name Aplosporella longipes. RNAcentral describes it as "partial 18S ribosomal RNA". Lineage: Eukaryota; Fungi; Ascomycota; Dothideomycetes; Botryosphaeriales; Aplosporellaceae. The record is from RNAcentral.